Molecule: ribosomal RNA, 406 nt
Filed under: uncultured bacterium
Lineage: Bacteria
Description: partial 16S ribosomal RNA
Rfam family: Bacterial small subunit ribosomal RNA
Source: RNAcentral
AUUGAACGCUGGCGGCAGGCCUAACACAUGCAAGUCGAACGCGUGGCGCACGGGUGAGUUAUGUCUGGGACACUGCCUGAUGGAGGGGGAUCUCUACUGGAAACUGUAUCUAAUAGCGCAUACCAUCAGAUGUGCCCAGAUGGGCUUAGCUUGUUGGUGGGGUAACGGCUCACCAAGGCGACGACCCCUAGCUGGUCUGAGAGGAUGAACAGCCACACUGGAACUGAGACACGGUCCAGACUCCUACGGGAGGCAGCAGUGGGGAAUAUUGCACAAUGGGCGCAAGCCUGAUGCAGCCAUGCCGCGUGUGUGAAGAAGGCCUUCGGGUUGUAAAGCACUUUCAGCGGGGAGGCGUUACCCGCAGAAGAAGCACCGGCUAACUCCGUGCCAGCAGCCGCGGUAAUAC